Molecule: ribosomal RNA, 207 nt
Filed under: uncultured bacterium
Lineage: Bacteria
Description: partial 16S ribosomal RNA
Rfam family: Bacterial small subunit ribosomal RNA
Source: RNAcentral
CGUGCAGGUGGAUUAAUAAGUCACUCAUGAAAGCUCCCGGCUAAACUGGGAGAGGUUGAGCGAAACUGUUAAUCUAGAGUGGAUGAGAGUAAGUAGAAUUCCUUGUGUAGUGGUGAAAUGCGUAGAUAUAAGGAAGAAUACCAGUGGCGAAGGCGACUUACUGGCAUCCAACUGACACUCAGACGCGAAAGGCAUGGGUAGCGAACG